GCCCAGGUGGUGAAAUUGGCAGACACACAAGAUUUAGGUUCUUGUACCGUAACUGGUGUGCAGGUUCGAGUCCUGUCCUGGGCA
This 84-nucleotide transfer RNA is filed under the name Verrucomicrobiota bacterium. RNAcentral's name for it is "tRNA-Leu". It matches the Rfam family "tRNA". Rfam says of the family: Transfer RNA (tRNA) molecules are approximately 80 nucleotides in length. Their secondary structure includes four short double-helical elements and three loops (D, anti-codon, and T loops). The record is from RNAcentral. Lineage: Bacteria; Pseudomonadati; Verrucomicrobiota.